GACGAACGCUGGCGGCGUGCUUAACACAUGCAAGUCGAACGGAAAGGCCUCUUUCGGGGGGUACUCGAGUGGCGAACGGGUGAGUAACACGUGAGUAACCUGCCCUUGACUUUGGGAUAACUUCAGGAAACUGGGGCUAAUACCGGAUAGGAGCUCCUGCUGCAUGGUGGGGGUUGGAAAGUUUCGGCGGUUGGGGUUGGACUCGCGGCUUAUCAGCUUGUUGGUGGGGUAGUGGCUUACCAAGGCUUUGACGGGUAGCCGGCCUGAGAGGGUGACCGGCCACAUUGGGACUGAGAUACGGCCCAGACUCCUACGGGAGGCAGCAGUGGGGAAUAUUGCACAAUGGGUGGAAGCCUGAUGCAGCAACGCCGUGUGCGGGAUGACGGCCUUCGGGUUGUAAACCGCUUUCGCUCAUGACGAAGCUUUGUGUGACGGUAGUGGGUAAAGAAGCACCGGCUAACUGCGUG
RNAcentral lists this ribosomal RNA (467 nucleotides) under uncultured bacterium. RNAcentral's name for it is "partial 16S ribosomal RNA". It matches the Rfam family "Bacterial small subunit ribosomal RNA", at positions 28 to 507 of the family's 1533-position model. The record is from RNAcentral.